RNAcentral lists this ribosomal RNA (192 nucleotides) under Triticum aestivum (bread wheat). RNAcentral describes it as "partial small subunit ribosomal RNA". Lineage: Eukaryota; Viridiplantae; Streptophyta; Magnoliopsida; Poales; Poaceae. The record is from RNAcentral.
AUGGCCAACAAUCCAACUCUGCAACCAAGGCUAUGGCUGAAGUUCUUACUAAGCACACUAAGAAGCCAAUGUUUCUUAAGCGUGUGGGGGUCCAGCACGUGCAUGAGAGAUCCAGUCGUAGCGACCAUGAGGCAGAACAGGAAGCGCAGAAGAGGAGAAAUGCUGAGCUUCGGGCCCUUGUUGACACCUUGA